RNAcentral lists this ribosomal RNA (425 nucleotides) under Candidatus Roizmanbacteria bacterium RIFCSPHIGHO2_01_FULL_37_16b. RNAcentral's name for it is "bacterial SSU rRNA". It matches the Rfam family "Bacterial small subunit ribosomal RNA", at positions 1 to 424 of the family's 1533-position model. The record is from RNAcentral. Lineage: Bacteria; Candidatus Roizmaniibacteriota.
UUUUUUUUAAGAGUUUGAUCCUGGCUCAGGAUGAAUGUUGGCGGCGUGCCUGAGAUAUGCAAGUCGAGCGCAUCUUGUCCCGCUUUGCGGGAUGAGGUCAGCGGCGGACGGCUGAGUAACACGUAGGAACCUUCCCUGAAAUAGAGGAUAGCCUAUCGAAAGAUGGGGUAAUACUUUAUAGUCCCCGCCUUUGGCGGGGUAAAAACCAUAACUGGUUGUUUCAAGAUGGUCCUGCGGCCUAUCAGGUAGUUGGUAGGGUAAUGGCCUACCAAGCCUAUGACGGGUAGCUGGCCUGAGAGGGUGUUCAGCCAGAGGGGUACUGAGACACGGACCCCAUUUCUACGGAAAGCAGCAAUCAGGAAUAGUCGGCAAUGGGCGAAAGCCUGACCGCGCGACGCCGCGUGCGGGAAGAAGCUCUUCGGAGU